Molecule: ribosomal RNA, 253 nt
Filed under: uncultured bacterium
Lineage: Bacteria
Description: partial 16S ribosomal RNA
Rfam family: Bacterial small subunit ribosomal RNA
Source: RNAcentral
UACGGAGGGUGCAAGCGUUGUUCGGAAUCACUGGGCGUAAAGGGCGUGUAGGCGGUCUAUCAAGUCUGGUGUGAAAGCCCCGGGCUUAACCUGGGAAUGGCAGUGGAAACUAGAGAACUUGAAUCUGGCAGAGGGGGGUGGAAUGCCACGUGUAGCAGUGAAAUGCGUAGAUAUGUGGCGGAACACCGAUGGCGAAGGCAGCCCCCUGGGCUGAGAUUGACGCUCAGGCACGAAAGCGUGGGGAGCAAACAGG